UAAUGGUGUAUUUUAAGAAAAAUAUUGCUUUGCAAAGGUGAAGUUGCUUUAUUUAGCUGCCAUU
RNAcentral lists this transfer RNA (64 nucleotides) under Megabalanus ajax. Its description in RNAcentral is "tRNA-Cys". The record is from RNAcentral. Lineage: Eukaryota; Metazoa; Arthropoda; Thecostraca; Balanomorpha; Balanidae.